Molecule: long non-coding RNA, 1463 nt
Organism: Vidua chalybeata
Lineage: Eukaryota; Metazoa; Chordata; Aves; Passeriformes; Viduidae
Exons: 2
Source: RefSeq, a predicted model, not a curated record
ACCAGGGAAUAAUGUCAUUAAAGGAUUGGACUUAAUAAAAGAAAAAGAAAUAAAAAGGGUGAAUAAACCAGGGGUAGAAACAAAAUUACCGAAUGGAAAGAAUUUGUUUUCAGAUCUAGUAGAAAGAAUCAGCCAUGAGUUCAACGUAUCGAAUAUACGCUGGAUAUGUGGGGAUAGCAGGAGGUCAGAAAUAUGGCCCUGGGAAGGAAUCGCACUCAGCCCUCAAGAAACUCUAAAAGCGAUGAAAAACCUAGAUAGAGAUCGAAAACCAGACAUCUGGAAUGCAGAAGAAGUUUGGAACUUAAAGUCCGAGUUUUAGACUUGUUACCAGUACAGAGCCGCCAGAUGAGGACUGCCAUAUAUCAGAACCGGCUAGCCUUGGACUACCUGCUGGCCGAAGAAGAAGGGGUAUGUGGAAAGUUUAAUUCAUCUGAAUGUUGUCUAGAAAUUGACGAUCAUGGGGACCUAAUUAAAAAUAUAACCACCAGGAUUAGAAAACUCACACAUGUACCAGUACAACGAUGGACCCCAUUGAUAAAAGCUAAUUGGUGGGAUAACAUCUGGAAUGGAGAAUGGUAGAAAAAGAUACUGCUUAUAGUGGGGGGGGGGUUGGAGGGGGCACUCAUAAAUUUAAUUUUCCUUCCUUGUUUAAUACCUUGUCGUAUCAGAAUGAUUAAUAACAUUCUCCAGACUUCUCUUGAAAGGUCAACAGAUGAGAAAAUUAUGAUGAUGAAAGAAAACCAAGACAGAAAAGGAACAGAGAGCGCAAAAGAGAUGUAUGAGAAAUACCAGAAGUUAAGAGAAUUUUACUGAAAGUAUGAAAGUCCAGUUUGAUAAGUUAAGGCUGAUGCGGGCCAAGCCCGAUCAAAGAAUUAGAGGGAGGAUUGUUAUGAACAAAAAUAAAAUUUAAACCUUUGGGGAACGUAGUUAACAAUGGUUAAAUGUUGUUACAAAGUUAAAUGUUGUUAAUACAAGUUAAAUGUUGUUAAUACCAGUAACAAAGUGUGAUUAGUUCUAUGAAAACCCAGUAGUGUGGUUCAUGUAAUAAAGGGGGAGUGGAACCAGGGAGGAGAUGGGGUGCCAAUCUUUGUGCAGGGGCAGAGAAACUUUCAGUAGUAUUCCAUCAUAGAACACAACCACAAGUUAAAUCAAGAUUGGAAGAGAGACCAACCAAUGGGAGGUGAGAAUUCCAAAAUGAUUGGCCAAGACUGCACCAACUUAUAAGUCAAUCAGCAACGGAGAAAUAGACCUGUCACAGCACGGAUCCUGAGCGCCCCAAUCAGGAGACAAGAGAGAGACUUGAAAAGGCCUGGGGUGUCUAACUCCCGAGUCUUUCCUGGGAGCCGCUUUCCCUGGAAACACCCCUAGGUUACAAUUACUAAGCUGUUGAAACAGUAUCUGGACCAGCCCGAGGUUUUUGCUUCCAGUUGUUCAUUUUGUAAUAAACAAGCUUACUUUUUUAA